Molecule: ribosomal RNA, 469 nt
Filed under: uncultured bacterium
Lineage: Bacteria
Description: SSU rRNA
Rfam family: Bacterial small subunit ribosomal RNA
Source: RNAcentral
AGGACGAACGCUGGCGGCGUGCUUAACACAUGCAAGUCGAGCGGAAAGGCCCUUCGGGGUACUCGAGCGGCGAACGGGUGAGUAACACGUGAGCAACCUGCCCUUAGCUUCGGGAUAGCUCCGGGAAACCGGAAUUAAUACCGGAUAUGACUAUGGCCGACAUCAGCCAUGGUGGAAAGUUUUUCGGCUAGGGAUGGACUCGCGGCCUAUCAGCUAGUUGGUGAGGUAACGGCUCACCAAGGCGACGACGGGUAGCCGGCCUGAGAGGGCGACCGGCCACACUGGGACUGAGACACGGCCCAGACUCCUACGGGAGGCAGCAGUGGGGAAUAUUGCGCAAUGGGCGAAAGCCUGACGCAGCGACGCCGCGUGGGGAUGAAUGCCUUCGGUGUAAACCCUUUCAGCAGGACGAAGCGAAAGUGACGGUACCUGCAGAAGAAGCGCCGGCUAACUACGUGCCAGCAGCCGC